Molecule: ribosomal RNA, 253 nt
Filed under: uncultured bacterium
Lineage: Bacteria
Description: partial 16S ribosomal RNA
Rfam family: Bacterial small subunit ribosomal RNA
Source: RNAcentral
UACGGAGGGGGCUAGCGUUGUUCGGAAUUACUGGGCGUAAAGCGCACGUAGGCGGAUCAGUCAGUCAGGGGUGAAAUCCCGGGGCUCAACCCCGGAACUGCCUUUGAUACUGCUGGUCUUGAGGUCGAGAGAGGUGAGUGGAAUUCCGAGUGUAGAGGUGAAAUUCGUAGAUAUUCGGAGGAACACCGGUGGCGAAGGCGGCAUCCUGGACCGACACUGACGCUGAGGAGCGAAAGCCAGGGGAGCAAACGGG